Molecule: ribosomal RNA, 562 nt
Filed under: uncultured bacterium
Lineage: Bacteria
Description: partial 16S ribosomal RNA
Source: RNAcentral
GGAGUUAGCCGGUGCUUCUUCUGUGAGUGAUGUCCUUCCUGCCGGCUAUUAACCCGCAGGCCUUCUUCCUCACUGAAAGUGCUUUACAACCCGAAGGCCUUCUUCACACACGCGGCAUGGCUGGAUCAGGGUUGCCCCCAUUGUCCAAUAUUCCCCACUGCUGCCUCCCGUAGGAGUCUGGGCCGUGUCUCAGUCCCAGUGUGGCUGAUCAUCCUCUCAGACCAGCUACGGAUCGUCGCCUUGGUGAGCCGUUACCUCACCAACCAGCUAAUCCGACAUAGGCUCAUCCGAUAGCGCGAGGCCCGAAGGUCCCCCGCUUUCCCCCGUAGGGCGUAUGCGGUAUUAGCCUGGGUUUCCCCAGGUUAUCCCCCACUACCGGGCAGAUUCCUAUGCAUUACUCACCCGUCCGCCGCUCGCCACCAGGGAGCAAGCUCCCCGUGCUGCCGCUCGACUUGCAUGUGUUAGGCCUGCCGCCAGCGUUCAAUCUGAGCCAGAGUACGACCCUAACGUACCUUGGAACGUCGGGGACGUCGGGGGCCUAAGGGGCCGAACGGACGUACGA